This 2049-nucleotide ribosomal RNA is filed under the name Hemiolia trepidum. Its description in RNAcentral is "partial small subunit ribosomal RNA". It matches the Rfam family "Eukaryotic small subunit ribosomal RNA". The record is from RNAcentral. Lineage: Eukaryota; Euglenozoa.
CCUGGUUGAUCCUGCCAGUCACAUACGCUUUGAUCAAGGGUUAAGCCAUGCAAAUGUUAGAGCAAGUAAGCAUGCUUCUAGCAGUUGCACAACAGAUCUGUGACCUGCUCAAUAAACAGUGGUCAUUUGUCCGGUGAGCAUGGAACAUGGUGGUGGAUACCCAUUCUAACUGGAUGGAUAAUACGAUGAGAAACAUUGCAGUACGUUGUCAUGAAGAGGCUGGUGGCCUAUCCAUAGGUCCUUCAAACGUAUGCAGUCAGCCAAGCGUGACGAAAAUCAGCGUGUUGAAAAGGAUGUGGCUCAUACGGAAUUAGCUUGGUGUACGUGUGGCCGCUCGGUCGGCAGGCCGGUCCAGUCUCUGAUCUAUCAGGCAUGGUGGCAGAAUAUGGCUCUGUCAAGGCAAUAACGGACACAGAGAAUGAGGGUUCGAUUCUGGAGAGGGAGCCUGAAAAACGGCUGCCACUUCCAAGGAUGGCAGCAGGCGCGGAAACUACUGAAUAGCAACUCCAAGCUGAAGUGGCGACGAUGCUUAGCAACUGGUUGCAUAUACAUGCAAUCUGUUUGCAAUGAACGAAGAUCCAGUUAUAUAUAUCGUCGAGGAUCAAAUGGAGGGCAAGUCUGGUGCCAGCAGCCGCGGUAAUUCCAGCUUCAUGGGCGUAUGCGAAUGUUGUUGCUGUUAAAAAGCUCGUAGUUUCAUUGUGGUGCGCUCUAUCUGGGUGUCCUCGUAAAACAGGACGCAGUCCCAGGCACAACACCUGGUAGCCUUUGUGGAAGCUACCUUCAGUGUGUAGUGGAAGCUGUCAUGCAAAUGCCACUUGCGAAUUAGGGUUGCUUGGAUGGUCACCGUGAGCUAAGCAGUGUGCUCAACGCAGUCUCCUGAUGAUUCGCACGGCUCUCAUGUUUAAGCAUGGAAUGACAAGGAAGCGAUCAAAUCCGUGAUAGCAUUUCGUUGGUUUUGAGGCAGAAUUGAGUAACAAUGCAGUCACGUCAAACUGGGACUUGUUCCAGGGAGGCGGCUGCAUUCCGGGACGAACAGAAAAUGGUGGGGUGCUCUGUAUUGUAAAAGGAGGAGUGAAAUCCAGUGAUCGUGGCGCGACCAGCGAAAGCCAAAGCAUUGUGCAAGCAUGGCUUCAUUUAUCAAGAACGUGAGUCUGGGGAUCGAAGAUGAUCAGAUACCGUCGUAGUCCAGUUACCGUAAACGCUGCGGACCUCCGUGGUGUACCUCAGGAUCGCCCCUGUAUUGUGGUGUGUGCAGAGUCCUCGGGCCGUGUACGCGACCAUACAUUCUUCUCAUCGCGAAAGCUCGAGUUUUCACGCUCAGGGGGAAGUAUGGUCGCAAGGCUGAAACUUAAAGGAAUUGACGGAAUGACACCACCAGGCGUGGAGUGUGCGGCUUAAUUUGACUCAACGCGGGAAAUCUUAUCAGGUCCGGACUCUUAAAGGAUUGACGGUGUGUCGCACUUUCAAGAUCAGGCGAGUGGUGGUGCAUGGCCGCUCCUAGUUGGUGAGGUGACUUGUCUGCCUGAUUGCGAUAACGAACGAGAUCUUUUUGGCUUAAUACAUUGCAGCCCCAUAUUGAUGGCGACUUCGUACGCAAGUCGCACUCAAGGGUCUGUCCAAUUACUUAUCCAGGCUGUGUGCGAGGCAAGCGCAAGUACGGGAGUCGAUAGCAGGUCUGUGAUGCUCCUCGACGUUCUGGGCUGCACGCGUACGACAAUGAAAUCAUCAACGCGUCAGCCUUUCAUGUGAAGCCUGCUCUGAAGUGUGUGGGAAAUCGUUCAAUCUGAAUCGUGAUGGGAACAGCUCCAAUUGGAACUAUUGUGCUCGAACGAGGAAUGCCUCGUAGAGAUCGUUCAACAGGCAGUCUUGAUUAUGUCCCUGCCAUUUGUACACACCGCCCGUCGUUGCUACCGAUGGUUUGAUCGUAGAGGCGGCAGGAGAGAAUAUGCUGCUUAUGGCGGCUUGCGUUGUUGAAUUCUACCAAUACUGUUUCGUUAGAGGAAGCAAAAGUCGUAACAAGGUUGCUGUAGGUGAACCUGCAGAAGGAUC